RNA transcript from Zingiber officinale, 5922 nucleotides. RefSeq lists it as uncharacterized. NCBI's taxonomy places the organism in Eukaryota, Viridiplantae, Streptophyta, Magnoliopsida, Zingiberales, Zingiberaceae. The transcript is spliced from 6 exons. The record is from RefSeq and is a predicted model, not a curated record.
AGAAGAUAAACAAAGGUUGCAAUAUUGUAGGUGUAGGAUAGGACAGCUCCCUGUAAACUCCUCCAUGUUCCCCUCUCUCUCUCUUUUCUCUCUCCUUUCUCUUUGUGAUGUUGCUGUUGCAAGCCUGCUUUUGGUGGAGAACCUGAUGCCUGGGAUGAGGAUGAGUUGAGUGGGUGCUGGUUUCUUCUUAUCUUCUAUUUCUUCCAGAGAUCCACAUACAAGAGAAGAGAAGAGAAGAGAAGAGAAGCUGCUUUCCUCCUCCUCGUCUUCUUCUCCUCCUCUUCCUCUUCCUCGCCACUCAUGGCAUAGCAAGCUGCCUCCUUUCCCCUCUCAAACUCGCUCGAUCUGUCUGGUUCUUUAGGAUCCAUGAGAAAGCAUCAAAUCAAUUGUAGAGAGAGGAAAAAGUUGGGGCUUCUUCUUGCCUGAUUGAAGCUUUUUCUUCUUCUUCUUUUUUUAUGCCCUUGGUUAUGCUGGAGGCCAAUCAUCAGAGAAGGCCCUGUAGCAGCAAAGCUCUUGGGCUCGUAGGGUUUGAAGAUUCAGGGAGGGACGCUGAAGAGGGCUUCUGCAGAUGUUAUCAUCCAUCGAAACUCCUCCAGAUCCUUCAUGUUCCUCAGAUCUCGCAGCACUGAAGUCUCAUGAGAAGGCUCCUGAAACGAUUGCCUUCGAAGAGGCAGAAAGAGUAGACCUUGAAGAAAAUCCAACCUCUCAAUUUUCCAUUAGGAAUUAUGUUCUUGCAUCGCGGCGGCGUAGCUGCAUCGAGACUAGUUGGCCUUUUUCGCAGCAGUUCCUCCAAAUUUGCAUGAAGCAUGGUGUCAAGAAUCUACUUCCACCAUUUGAACCUCCUGAUCUGGUGAGAUCCCAGUGCUUGAGAAAGUCAGAACAACUUAUUGUCGAAGCUGAAGCCGAAGCCGAAGUCGAUCCUAUUGAGACUAGAAAUGUUGGUGCCAUCAUCUGGAAGACUUCAGAUAUCAGAUUAGAAUCGCCUUUACUUUUAAAGGAAUUCGAUUCAAACUCUUCUGAUCCAGCUAUAGAGUCGACGUCUGAGGCCGAAAUAUCUCCACUGGAUGAAGGAACAAAUUCAGAUGAACUGAUUCAACAUGACCAUGAUGCUGAACUCAUUUGUUCCAUAGCCGAUAGCACUGAAGCAUCACCGGAUUUUGAUUCUCUUGUGCCUAGACAGAAGUUGGAGAAGCUACAGAAGCCACUUGAAAAGAAGUGCAGAUUGAAAGUCAAGCUGGGUGUUAUCUCCGAGAUCAAUAAGGAAGGCAACACACUAGAUAAUUCCGGUUCCGUUUCGGAUCCUAUGGCUUCGAAGAUUUGUCCAGUUUGUAAAGCAUUUUCAUCCAGUUCGAACACUACUUUGAAUGCGCACAUCGACCAGUGUCUCUCCAUGGACUCAAAUGUGAAGGGCAUUUCAGGCGAGGUCCCAAAGAUUAAAGCUAAACAAAGGAAGAAGAGAUUGAUGACCGAGAUUUACACGACAGCUCCUCGUGCCACUCUUGAAGACCUUGAUAGGAGAAAUGGUACGAAUUGGGCCGUGGAGCUCGCUUUGCUGGCAACACCGACCAGUGGGGUUGCCAAUGAGACCAAGAGACCCAAGAUGUCUGCAACUGAAUGUCUAGAGAAUGGAAAUGACAGUGCUGUUUAUGUUGACUCAAAAGGUAUGAAACUUGGGAUUUUGUCGAAGUUUAAUGAACCAGCACCGGACGACCUUAAUAUGUGGAAGAAUGCAAUUGCAGAACCAGGAAAUUGUAUUUUGCAAAGAAAGAAGAAGGAUUUAGCACUGAAACACUUGAAGGAUACUAAAAUGAAGGCACAAAAAAGGAAACUGUUAUUCAAACAGUCUAAAACUCAGUUUGCAGCCACAUUUGAUGAUGAUGAUCAAUCUGCUGUCCAUCAGCAAGAUCCUGUUCAGCCAUCUGCAUUGCAUACUGAGAAACAAGUUGAGAGCACUGCUCCUGCAACUUCGAAACCUUGGGCGUGCUCUAUACAAUCAGAUAUCCCGAUAAAUGUUCCUAAAAGCAGAAGUGAGAGCAUGGACAACACAACACUAGUACAUAGGAGCAUUUUGGCGGAGAAUCACCAAUGGAAUUCUUCAGCUGUCAGUAGUGAAGCCAAUAAAUUCUUUAGGUCAUCAGAAGUAUUGACUGGUUCUCCGAAAAUGAAGAGAGUUGAUUGCUUGUAUAAUGACAAUCGCCUCACAAAUGAUAUGAAAGGGAAGUCUUCAGAAGUACCUAUUUCCAAUCACAAAUGGUCUUCGAGAGGUGCUUGUUCAACUAUUGGUCUCCUCAAAUCGUCAAAGCCAUCUGAUAAGUUCCUAUCUAGUGGAAAAAAACCAGUGGCGAUUGACCUGGGCAUUUGUAAAAAAUCUAACAAGUGUUUGAAUACGUUACAAUCUCCGUUGGAGGAAGAAGCUAUUUUCACUUCAAAAAAGGAAAUCCUAGUUAAGAGACCGUAUUUCCAUUUGGAAGGAAGUAAAGGUGAGGCAAAUGAGAAGGCACUUAAGACCUUUAAGUUCCGUAAGCACAGAUCGGCUUUGAGAACCUGCAAGAGAGGACCACCAUUUUUACUGCCUAAUGAUGGAGUGCAUGGAACUACCAACAAUUUGAUUGUGAGAAGAAAUAGGGCAGUACACAAUCAUGAAUUUGGUUCGCUGAAUAAUUUUACUAGUUCUGAAUCAAAAAUCAUGAACCAUGAGUUUCCAAUCCGAGGCAAUAACACAGAGUCUGAGAGACCAGGAUUAUCAAAGACAGUUGAAGAGCGAGAACAAAAUAAUUUGAUACACCCUGCAAUACCUUGGUGCAACAAUACUGAAGUUGAAGACUCAGAUGCUCUAGUAGAAGAUCAGAGUCACGGAGCACCAGGAGAAGCUGGUGGUGAUCAUGUUUCCAAUGAUUUUGUCAACUCAGAUAAACUGGAAAUUAGUUUCAGAAACAAAUCAUGUUCUUCUCAGCAUGCAGUUGGCAAAGUCCAUGUAGAUAACUUUGAGAAAAGAUCUGGCCAGCAAGAAUUCAUUUGCAAUGAUGUAUCCUGUGAAGAUGUUGAAUAUGAAGAUAUUCAAAUGGAAGUUGCCACUGUAGACAAAGAUGUAGAAGUCUCUUGUGCAGUUCUACUAAAAAAUUAUCAAGCUGAAACCACAUCUGCUCAAGAUUCUAUCGGUUGUCUAACUAGUCACGGGGGUAUGGAACUCAAGGUGCCCUCUAAGAGCCCAUCAAUGACUUCAUUAAUAUCAUCCGAAAAUCACCAUAGGCAUUUGCACCUGGACACUGGCCAAUCUGGAUCACCAACUUCUGCAGGAUCUUAUGUCUCCUUAAUGCCUUAUGAAGGCUCCAGAUUGAAAGAUCCAGAACCUGAACUCUCAAUGAGGAGUUUUGAAUCUCAUACUGCUGGACUCACUGAGAAUACUGAACAAAGAAAUUUCAAUAGUAGAGAACACAGGAAGGACGAUCUAGCAGAAACAACACCUAAGAAAUGCUUGAAUGAGAAGCCAUUUUGCUGUUCAUGCAGGGAGAGCAUUUCGAAAGAUUUACAGUUACCAAGCCAUAAUGAAACUUCCAGGACAACUAAGGAAAAUCGAGUUUCAAACUUGUUUAUUGGGCCAAGAAUAUCUUCCUCCUUUAAAACAUAUCAGAGUCCCAGGAGUAAUAGUAUAUCCAAAUCAUCACAGCAGUCCAAUUACAACAAUUCGAUUGAUUUUUCUGGAAGUUAUGGAUCAUUCACUGAUUUAGGUUCUCCAUCACCUCAGUCACUGAACCAAUCCAGUUCUAACCCGGUACUUCGAUUGAUGGGUAAAAACCUAACAGUUGUAAACAACGAACCACUUAUGUAUCCUCAAACUAUUGCUCCAGACCAUACACCGUAUGUGAAUUCUGUUUCUACUGGAUUUGCUUCCAUCAACCACCUCAUGCAACAAGAUGGUUCAUAUCACUGCCAUCAACCUAUGGUUGGCUCGCAAGCCAUUCAUCAUGCUUUAUUAACCGGCGACCCUGCUGUGUUUCCACAUUUACCUACCAUUGCAAUGGGCAACACUGCCAGGGCUCCUCUUCAUCCUGCUUGGACCAUAAAACCAGAUCAACACAUGCAGCAGACACCAUUCCAAAGGCAUGGCUCUUGCUCUCCUUAUGCGAUGAAUGAGGUGAUUGUCAUUGAUGACCGAUGUUCACAGCAUGAGAAUGAACUCAAAGGCUCCCUAAAGAAUACCACAAACACUUCAUUGCUUAGUGCGUAUGGGCCGAGUGCUUUAGCUCCAAGACCCUUUGCUUGCUUUCCAUUGGAAAGCCAGAAUAGGAAUGUCUCAGGCAGACCUUCAGCUUUAUUUGCUAAUUUUCAACCAGUGACAAAUGCUAGUUUUAUGAAUCAAAGGUUCAGCACACAAAGCCAAGGUGCUCUUAUUCCAUAUCCAAAUUUCCAGGCACCUGCAUCAAGUCGGAUGGGCCCAUCGUUCUAUUAUCCUGCAAUUCUGCGGUGAUCUUGAUAGUGCAAAGAGGCAGAUAACAGAAACCUGUCAUCAAGGAUCAGGUAUUCGCUCUUAUUCAUUACCAGAUCACAAUACUGACAGUUGACACUGGAAGUUGCACAGAUGACUGCCUAGCAUCCAAGAAUAAGAACCCCGUUCAAUAUGCUGGUUUUCUUAACAAUACUGGAGUAGCUAUUGUAUUAAAAGGGAUGUUUCCGACAAAGAUCUUAAUUUUCGAGUUUUGGUAGGCAUAGCAUGAUGCUCUGAAAGUAUCCUUUCCGAGUUCGUCAUUGGUUGAAUUCGAUGAAUUUGAAUUAAAUUCAUCAAUCUCGAAGUACAUGUGUUGCACAUCCAAGUGCACUUGUUUGAUGGUAAAGCUCCUUUACUGCGUCCUUAAAAGAGAACAGCUUCCCUGUUUCUUGCUGACUCUUUAAAGUCACUGCUCCAAAAAAGGAUUGAUAAUUUAGAAAGGCAACAGGAAUCUCUUUGGUCGAGGGCAAAUGAGAGUUUUGAAGUUAAACUGCAAAAUCAAACCCAGAACUCAAUCCUCAACUAAUCCAUUCUUUGGAUAAUUAAAAGAGCCAUUGUCUUUGUCUCCAUGUGUGGACCACAAGGGUUUUGAAUUCUCUUAAGAUUUAAGAAUGAGAUCCUUUCCGAGUGGGGAUCGCAAUGGACUACUUUAGUUCCUUUCGCGCUGAAUCUCUCUCAAACAUUACUUGGAAGAUGAGGGAGGAGUGCAUUCAUGAAUCCUUUUAGCAGAAAGGAAAUGGGGUGUGCUGCUUCUAAGAUUUUAGCUAGAUCAUGGCACUUUCAAGAGGAUGUUGAGAGAAGAUUAAAAAGGAGACCUGCAAAGGGAUUGGAAGAAUUGGUCAGCUACAAAAAUGGAGCGGAGCAUGAGAAGAACUCAACCAUGCCCGUGGAGAGCAAUGCGGUUGUCCAUGUCGAAACCAUCAAUACUUGGGAUCUGUUGGCUGGCCUAGCAGAAGACGACGACGAAGAAGAAGACAACGACAAGACGAUUGAGAAAGAAGUCACAACAAACAUUGAUUCAAAGAGAAAAGCUAUGGCCAAGGAGCUCUCAGUGCUUGAGGUUCCUCCUUUUGAGUUCGCGGAGAAGGGAAGUCAGAAGGAAUGGCCGCAACGAGACGGCCAAGAGCCUUAUGUCACCCCUAAAUUCGGAAAAUUUUCAAAGCAGGGAGACAAAAGGGAGGAUGAAGGAGUCGUGUUUGAUCCUGAAUUGGUUGCGCAGUUUGAGCGGGCUAUGAACGAGCUUGCAACUGAUGAAGAGCUUGUUCUUCGACAGAUCACAAAUGGCUUGGAGUGAAACCAAAUGCUAAGAAGAUUUUGUCAUUAAGAUCAAACUUCAGUUAACUAGCUACAAACUGUUGUUUUAAAUUAAUUUGAUCAACUAAAACUUAAGUAAUUAUAAUUAUUAGUAACAUAAUAAAUUACAGGUUAUUAAGUUA